Molecule: non-coding RNA, 29 nt
Filed under: Homo sapiens (human)
Lineage: Eukaryota; Metazoa; Chordata; Mammalia; Primates; Hominidae
Source: RNAcentral
UGCAGUGUAGUGUUGCCGAACAACUACUG